Molecule: ribosomal RNA, 423 nt
Filed under: Epyris sp.
Lineage: Eukaryota; Metazoa; Arthropoda; Insecta; Hymenoptera; Bethylidae
Description: partial large subunit ribosomal RNA
Source: RNAcentral
CAUCUCUUAUUGAUAAAAAUAAUAAGUUGACUCUGCCCAAUGAUUAUUUAAAUGGCUGCAGUAUUUUAACUGUACAAAGGUAGCAUAAUCAAUUGAUUUUUAAUUGAAAUCUAGAAUGAAAGAGGUGAUGAAAUAUAUAUUUUAUUAAAAUAAUAUUUUUAAUUUUAAAUUAAAGUUAGAAUGCUUUAAUAAUUUUAUGGGACGAGAAGACCCUAUAGAAUUUUAUAUUAUUGAAUUAAUUAAAUUUAUAAAUAUUAAGUUAAUAAUAUUUAUUUGGGAGGAAUUUUAAAUAUAACUAACUUUAAAUUUUUAUUUACAUUUAUAAAUGAAUUUUAAAUGAUUUUAUAAAAUAAUUAUUAAAUUAAAUUACCUUAGGGAUAACAGUGUAAUAUUUUUUAAAAGUUCUUAUUUAAAAAAAUGUUU